GAUGAAGAACGUAGCGAAAUGCGAUAAGUAAUGUGAAUUGCAGAAUCCAGUGAAUCAUCGAAUCUUUGAACGCACAUUGCGCCCGCCAGCAUUCUGGCGGGCAUGCCUGUUCGAGCGUCAUUUCAACCCUCGACCUCCCCUCGGGGAGGUCGGCGUUGGGGACCGGCAGCACACCGCCGGCCCUGAAAUGGAGUGGCGGCCCGUCUGCGGCGACCUCUGCGUAGUAAUACAGCUCGCACCGGAACCCCGACGCGGCCACGCCGUAAAACACCCAACUUCUGAACGUUGACCUCGAAUCAGGUAGGACUACCCGCUGAACUUAAGCAUAUCAAUAAGCGGAGGA
Molecule: unclassified non-coding RNA, 343 nt
Filed under: soil metagenome
Description: partial contains 5.8S ribosomal RNA, internal transcribed spacer 2, and large subunit ribosomal RNA
Rfam family: 5.8S ribosomal RNA (bases 1-120)
Source: RNAcentral